RNAcentral lists this ribosomal RNA (391 nucleotides) under uncultured bacterium. RNAcentral describes it as "bacterial SSU rRNA". It matches the Rfam family "Bacterial small subunit ribosomal RNA", at positions 28 to 420 of the family's 1533-position model. The record is from RNAcentral.
GACGAACGCUGGCGGCGUGCUUAACACAUGCAAGUCGAGCGGUAAGGCCCUUUCGGGGGUACACGAGCGGCGAACGGGUGAGUAACACGUGGGUGACCUGCCCUCAGCUCUGGGAUAAGCCUGGGAAACUGGGUCUAAUACUGGAUAUGACUCCACGGUGCAUGUCGUGGGGUGGAAAGCCUUGUGCGGCUGAGGAUGGGCCCGCGGCCUAUCAGCUUGUUGGUGGGGUGACGGCCUACCAAGGCGACGACGGGUAGCCGGCCUGAGAGGGCGACCGGCCACACUGGGACUGAGACACGGCCCAGACUCCUACGGGAGGCAGCAGUGGGGAAUCUUGCGCAAUGGGCGAAAGCCUGACGCAGCGACGCCGCGUGAGGGAUGACGGCCUGGU